This 340-nucleotide ribosomal RNA is filed under the name Mantidactylus katae. RNAcentral describes it as "partial 16S ribosomal RNA". It matches the Rfam family "Bacterial large subunit ribosomal RNA", at positions 2009 to 2516 of the family's 2925-position model. The record is from RNAcentral. Lineage: Eukaryota; Metazoa; Chordata; Amphibia; Anura; Mantellidae.
GGUUACACUGUCUCCUUUUUCUAAUCAGUGAAACUAAUCUUCCCGUGAAGAAGCGGGAAUAUCCCCAUAAGACGAGAAGACCCCAUGGAGCUUCAAACCCAAUUACACCCCUAACCCCUAUAACUACUUAACCCUUAGGAUUCUGUAUUAUUGGUUUUAGGUUGGGGCGACCACGGAGUACAACAAAACCUCCACAAUGAACGGAACUACUUCCUCAUCUGAGAGCUACACCUCUAAGAAUUAAAAUAUUAACAUAAAAUGAUCCAUUUUUGAUCAAUGAACCAAGUUACCCUGGGGAUAACAGCGCAAUCCAUUUCAAGAGCCCCUAUCGACAAAUGGG